GACGGGUAGCCGACCUGAGAGGGUGACCGGCCACACUGGGACUGAGACACGGCCCAGACUCCUACGGGAGGCAGCAGUGGGGAAUAUUGCACAAUGGGCGAAAGCCUGAUGCAGCGACGCCGCGUGAGGGAUGACGGCCUUCGGGUUGUAAACCUCUUUCAGCAGGGACGAAGCGCAAGUGACGGUACCUGCAGAAGAAGCACCGGCUAACUACGUGCCAGCAGCCGCGGUAAUACGUAGGGUGCAAGCGUUGUCCGGAAUUACUGGGCGUAAAGAGUUCGUAGGCGGUUUGUCGCGUCGUUUGUGAAAACCAGCAGCUCAACUGCUGGCUUGCAGGCGAUACGGGCAGACUUGAGUACUGCAGGGGAGACUGGAAUUCCUGGUGUAGCGGUG
Molecule: ribosomal RNA, 393 nt
Filed under: Rhodococcus sp. (in: high G+C Gram-positive bacteria)
Lineage: Bacteria; Bacillati; Actinomycetota; Actinomycetes; Mycobacteriales; Nocardiaceae
Description: bacterial SSU rRNA
Rfam family: Bacterial small subunit ribosomal RNA
Source: RNAcentral